This 2990-nucleotide ribosomal RNA is filed under the name marine metagenome. Its description in RNAcentral is "bacterial LSU rRNA". It matches the Rfam family "Bacterial large subunit ribosomal RNA". The record is from RNAcentral.
UCAAGUGACUAAGUGCAUGUGGUGGAUGCCUUGGCGAUUACAGGCGAUGAAGGACGUUGUAGCCUGCGAAAAGCUGCGGGGAGCUGGCAAACAAGCUUUGAUCCGCAGAUGUCCGAAUGGGGAAACCCACUCCGCAAGGAGUAACCCUGACUGAAUACAUAGGUCAGUGGUGGCGAACCCGGCGAACUGAAACAUCUAAGUAGCCGGAGGAAUAGAAAUCAACCGAGAUUCCCUAAGUAGUGGCGAGCGAACAGGGACCAGCCUGCAAGAGAUAACUAGUGUGUUAGUGGAACGCUCUGGAAAGUGCGGCCGUAGUGGGUGAUAGCCCCGUACGCGAAAACACAUUAGCGAGACUAAGUUUGCGACAAGUAGGGCGGGACACGUGAAAUCCUGUCUGAAGAUGGGGGGACCAUCCUCCAAGGCUAAAUACUCGUAAUCGACCGAUAGUGAACCAGUACCGUGAGGGAAAGGCGAAAAGAACCCCGGGAGGGGAGUGAAAUAGAUCCUGAAACCGCAUGCAUACAAACAGUGGGAGCCUCGCAAGGGGUGACUGCGUACCUUUUGUAUAAUGGGUCAGCGACUUACGUUCUGUAGCGAGCUUAACCGAAUAGGGGAGGCGUAGCGAAAGCGAGUCUGAUAAGGGCGCUUUAGUUGCAGGGCGUAGACCCGAAACCAGAUGAUCUAUCCAUGGCCAGGAUGAAGGUGCGGUAACACGCACUGGAGGUCCGAACCCACUAAUGUUGAAAAAUUAGGGGAUGAGCUGUGGAUAGGGGUGAAAGGCUAAACAAAUCUGGAAAUAGCUGGUUCUCCCCGAAAGCUAUUUAGGUAGCGCCUCAUGUAUCACUCGCGGGGGUAGAGCACUGUAAUGGUUGGAGGGGUCAUUGCGAUCUACUCCGCCAUAGCAAACUCCGAAUACCGCGAAGUGCGAGCAUGGGAGACAGACUGUGGGUGCUAACGUCCAUGGUCAAGAGGGAAACAACCCAGACCGCCAGCUAAGGUCCCCAAGUCAUGGUUAAGUGGAAAACGAGGUGGGAAGGCAUAGACAGUCAGGAAGUUGGCUUAGAAGCAGCCAUCUUUUAAAGAAAGCGUAAUAGCUCACUGAUCGAGUCGUCCUGCGCGGAAGAUGUAACGGGGCUCAAACCAUGCACCGAAGCUGCGGAUAUGUGCGUUCCACUUUAAUUCAUUCGAAGCGACAAGCUCAGUGAAGGCUAGCCUUUAGGUUAUGUCGAAACUAAAGCGUCGAUCAAUUCGAGUCGGAGUGAAUUAAAGGGAGCGCACAUAUGGUAGGGGAGCGUUCUGUAGGUCUGCGAAGGUGGGGUGAGAACCCUGCUGGAGAUAUCAGAAGUGCGAAUGCUGACAUGAGUAGCGAUAAAGCGUGUGAAAAGCACGCUCGCCGAAAGCCCAAGGUUUCCUGCGCAACGUUCAUCGGCGCAGGGUGAGUCGGCCCCUAAGGCGAGGCCGAAAGGCGUAGUCGAUGGGAAACGGGUCAAUAUUCCCGUACCGAUCACAGAUGCGAUGGGGGGACGGAGAAGGUUAGCUCAGCCGGGUGUUGGACGUCCCGGUUUAAGCGUGUAGGCGUGCUCUUUAGGAAAAUCCGGAGAGCUUAGCUGAGGCGUGAUGACGAGGAUCUUCGGAUCUGAAGUGAGUGAUACCCUGCUUCCAGGAAAAGCCUCUAAGCUUCAGUCUGUGAUUGACCGUACCGCAAACCGACACAGGUGGGCAGGAUGAAAAUUCUAAGGCGCUUGAGAGAACUCAGGAGAAGGAACUCGGCAAAUUGAUACCGUAACUUCGGGAGAAGGUAUGCCCCGGUAGCGUGAAAUCCCUUGCGGAUGGAGCGUGAUGGGGUCGCAGAGAAUCGGUGGCUGCAACUGUUUAAUAAAAACACAGCACUCUGCAAAGGCGAAAGCCGACGUAUAGGGUGUGACGCCUGCCCGGUGCCGGAAGGUUAAUUGAUGGGGUGCAAGCUCUUGAUCGAAGCCCCGGUAAACGGCGGCCGUAACUAUAACGGUCCUAAGGUAGCGAAAUUCCUUGUCGGGUAAGUUCCGACCUGCACGAAUGGCGUAAUGAUGGCCACACUGUCUCCUCCUGAGACUCAGCGAAGUUGAAAUGGUUGUGAAGAUGCAAUCUACCCGCGGCUAGACGGAAAGACCCCAUGAACCUUUACUGUAGCUUUGCAUUGGACUUUGACGGGACUUGUGUAGGAUAGGUGGGAGGCUGUGAGACCGGAUCGCUAGAUUCGGAGGAGCCAACCUUGAAAUACCACCCUGGUGUCGUUGAGGUUCUAACCUUGGUCCGUGAAUCCGGAUCGGGGACCGUGCAUGGCAGGCAGUUUGACUGGGGCGGUCUCCUCCCAAAGAGUAACGGAGGAGUACGAAGGUCUUCUAAGCACGGUCGGACAUCGUGCUCAUAGUGCAAUGGCAAAAGAAGGCUUGACUGCGAGACCCACAAGUCGAGCAGGUGCGAAAGCAGGUCAUAGUGAUCCGGUGGUUCUGUAUGGAAGGGCCAUCGCUCAACGGAUAAAAGGUACUCUGGGGAUAACAGGCUGAUUCCACCCAAGAGUUCAUAUCGACGGUGGAGUUUGGCACCUCGAUGUCGGCUCAUCACAUCCUGGGGCUGUAGCCGGUCCCAAGGGUAUGGCUGUUCGCCAUUUAAAGUGGUACGUGAGCUGGGUUUAAAACGUCGUGAGACAGUUUGGUCCCUAUCUGCCGUGGGCGCUGGAAAUUUGAGGGGACCUGCUCCUAGUACGAGAGGACCGGAGUGGACGGAUCUCUGGUGUACCGGUUGUCACGCCAGUGGCAUCGCCGGGUAGCUAAAUCCGGAAGAGAUAAACGCUGAAAGCAUCUAAGCGUGAAACUCGCCUCAAGAUGAGAUUUCCCGGGGGUUUAACCCCCCUGAAGGGUCGUCCAAGACCAGGACGUUGAUAGGUCAGGUGUGGAAGCGCAGUAAUGCGUUAAGCUAACUGAUACUAAUUGCCCGUGAGGCUUGACCCU